This 292-nucleotide ribosomal RNA is filed under the name uncultured bacterium. RNAcentral's name for it is "partial 16S ribosomal RNA". It matches the Rfam family "Bacterial small subunit ribosomal RNA", at positions 775 to 1067 of the family's 1533-position model. The record is from RNAcentral.
GGAUUAGAUACCCUGGUAGUCCACGCUGUAAACGAUGAGAACUAGACGUCGGGUGGAUAACCGCUCGGUGUCGCAGCCAACGCAUUAAGUUCUCCGCCUGGGGAGUACGACCGCAAGGUUGAAACUCAAAGGAAUUGACGGGGGCCCGCACAAGCGGUGGAGCAUGUGGUUUAAUUCGAUGCAACGCGAAGAACCUUACCUGCCCUUGACAUCCUGGGAAGGCUCUAGAGAUAGAGCUGUGCCUUCGGGAACCCAGUGACAGGUGCUGCAUGGCUGUCGUCAGCUCGUGCUG